RNAcentral lists this transfer RNA (71 nucleotides) under Loxodonta africana (African savanna elephant). It matches the Rfam family "tRNA". Rfam says of the family: Transfer RNA (tRNA) molecules are approximately 80 nucleotides in length. Their secondary structure includes four short double-helical elements and three loops (D, anti-codon, and T loops). The record is from Rfam by way of RNAcentral. Lineage: Eukaryota; Metazoa; Chordata; Mammalia; Proboscidea; Elephantidae.
ACAGUGGUGGCUCAGUGGUAGAGUUCUUGCCUUCCGUGUAGGAGACCCGGGUUUGAUUCCUAGCCAGUGAA